Long non-coding RNA from Callithrix jacchus (white-tufted-ear marmoset), 2832 nucleotides. RefSeq lists it as uncharacterized. The record is from RefSeq and is a predicted model, not a curated record. NCBI's taxonomy places the organism in Eukaryota, Metazoa, Chordata, Mammalia, Primates, Cebidae.
AGAAGGGAUGCGAUCCAGAACUCUUCCUCCUGGGAUGGGGUCUGGGUCACAUCACCAGACUGGAAAGCUAAGCCCCAGGAAGGUCAAAGAGCUCAUCCAGCGUCACCGAGCCGGAAAGUAGGCGAGAUUUGGAUCAGGUGUACCUGACUUCUGACCUAAGUUUCUUAUCACCGUGUUUCCCAAAUGUCCACCCACACACCACCUCCGCCACCAUGUGGCAACACCUGCCCACACCCGCCCACGUCUGCCUACUGUGAGUCUUUAGUUCAGGGUCAGACACCUCUUUCUGGAAAGGGCUGUGUUGUAGAGUCAACUUCUGAACGAUGACUGGUGGAUUGACCAUCAAACGUCCCGGCACUAACUGGUCACCAUUGUCCUAGAGCCAAGGCAAUCAAAACACAGCAUUGAUUCCUUCCUUCAGUCACCAAGCAUCUACCAGAGCUUACCAUGUCCUACUCACUUGCUAAAUGCUGGGGAUACGAUGAUAGCAGGUGCAGUCGUGGCCUCUGCCUGGAGAAGCCAGUGGUCCUUUGGGAGACAAACAGUAAUUGCUAACCUGUUUAGGCGAGAGCAUCAUGAAAACCAUGCGGUGGCACAGGGGUAAGAGGGAGAGAAAGAGGAAGAAGAGGAGGAGGAGGAAGAAGGAGGAGGAGGAAGAGAAGGUGGAGAAGAAGAGGAGGUGAAGACGGAGAUUCACUUCAUUUUUUGGCUCUCCCUACCCUAAACAUGAGUCAGACCUAGAGGCAAGGGGUAGGGAACCCAUUGACAUCUGAGUUGAUGGUAAGAGGGUUGCUGCCACUCUGGGAGCCUUUCACAGAUGUGUAUGAAAUCCACAUUGAUGUAUAGCAGGAGGGAAUGAACCUGGCUCUGUGCCCAGGAGAACCAGAGCAUAUGCCCAAGGCAGAGUAUUUUCAAGGCCCCAUACAGGGCAGGGAUGAACUGUCCUUUUGAUACCCCAUCCUUUCUCUUGUAUUUUCUUAAAAUAAACACAUGGAAGAGCAGAUCAGGGAGCUCUGAAGGGGACAGAGAAGAAUGGGUAGAAAGUAGCACCUGGUUUUCUGCAUAUGGCUAGACAGUUUUCCCAAUACCAUUUAUUAAAUAAAAAAUCCUUUCCCCAGUACUUAUUUUUGUCAGGUUUGUCAACGAUCAGGUGGCUGUAGAUGUGUGGCAUUAUUUCUGAGGCCUCUGUUCUGUUCCAUUGAUCUAUAUAUCUGUUUCAGUACCAAUACCAUGCUGCUUUGGUUACUGUAGCUUAGUAGUAUAGUGUGAACCAUGGUAGCACGAUGCCUCCAGCUUCGUUCUUUUUGCUUAGGAUUUUCUUGGCUAUAUGGGCUUUUUUUUUCAUUCCAUAUGACAUUUAAAGUAGUUUUUUUCUAAUUCUGUCAAUGGUAGCUUGAUGGGAAUAGCAUUGAAUCUAUAAAUUACUUUGGGAAAUGUGGCCAUUUUCAUUAUAUUGAUUCUUCCUAUCCAUGUUUUUCCCUUUGUUUGUGUCCUCUCUUAUUUCCUUGAGCAGUGGUUUGUAGUUCUCCUUGAAGAGGUCCUUCACAUCCCUUGGAAGUUGUAUUCCUGGGUAUUUUAUUUCCUUUGUAGCAACUGUGAAUGGGAGUUCACUCAUGAUUUGGCUGUCUAUUAUUGGUGUAUAGGAAUGCUUGUAAUUUUUGCAGAUUGAUUUUGUGUCUUGAGACUUUGCUGAAGUUGCUUAUCAGCUUAAGGAGAUUUUGGGCUGAGGUGAUGGGGUUUCUAAAUAUAUAGUCAUGUCAUCCGCAAACAGAGACAAUUUGACAUUCUCUCUUCGUAUUUAAAUACCUUUAUAUUGCCCUGGCCAGAACUUCCAAUACUACAUUGAAUAGGAGUGGUGAGAGAGGGCAUCCUUGUCUUGUGCCGGUUUUCAAAGGCAAUGCUUCCAGCUUUUGCCCAUUCAGUAUGAUAUUGGCUGUGGGUCUGUCAUAAACAGCUCUUAUUAUUUUGAGAUACGUUCCAUCAAUACUAUUUUAUUGAGAGUUUUUAGCAUGAAAGGAUGUUGAAUUUUAUCACAGAUCUUUUUUUUCUAUUAUCUAUUGAGAUAAUCAUGAGGUUUUGGUCAUUGGUUCUGCUUGUGUGAUAGACUGCGUUUAUUGAUUUGCGUAUGUUGAACCAGUCUUGCAUCCAAGGGAUGCAGGCAACUUGAUCAUGGUGGACAAGCUUUUUGAUGUGCUGCUGGAUUUGGUUUGCCAGUAUUUUAUUGAGGAUUUUCACAUUGAUGUUCAUCAGGGAUAUUGGCAUGAAAUUUUCUUUUUUUGUUGUGUCUCUGCCAACAAGAUUGAAAACCUGACUUAGUAGUAUGCACCUGUAACAAUAACUGAGUGUUGGCCAAUCCCAGUACCCACAUGUCAACCACUCAUAGACUGCAGAGUGUUCAAACUGUGUCCAAAUAAGGCAAAUGCUGAGCUAUAAUCAACCCCUCUGUUUCUGUACCUCAUUUCCAGUAUCUGUAUAUCACAUCCCUUUUUUGUUUAGAAAUUUGUUCUGACCACGAGGCACCUCUGGAGUUGCUCCGAAUCUGCUGUGAUUCUAGAGGGUGUCCAGUUCACAAAUCAUUCAUUUCUUUUUUUUCUCAAUUAAACUCCAUUAAAUUAAAGAAGGAAAGAAAGAGAAAGAAAUAAAGCAAUAAAGCAAGCAAGCAAGCAAGCAAGAAAGAAGCACCUGUGAGACUUUCUGUUCUGCCCCCAUUAGCCAUGUGAUUUCAGCACAUUCUUCAACUUCUUUGGGUCUGAGUCUCUAAUUUGUCAUUUUGGGGGCAAGACUAGCUGACCCUUAAGGUCCCUUUUAGCAUUUCUAUGAGAGGAUCCCGUG